Molecule: long non-coding RNA, 980 nt
Organism: Coffea eugenioides
Lineage: Eukaryota; Viridiplantae; Streptophyta; Magnoliopsida; Gentianales; Rubiaceae
Exons: 3
Source: RefSeq, a predicted model, not a curated record
CUAUUUGGUGAUUUAUUGUUCCAUUUUUCGUUUUUGUCUUGGAUUUCUUCUGGAGUUCGGAGGAAAAAUGGCCACUUGUGAAAAACAACUGGUGAGUGAAAAUGAAGGAAUAUGAAAACUUGAAGUUGACAUCUCUAAGAAGUAGUUAAAGCUGCAGGAAAUGACCAUACAUUGGGUUUUGUUACUGGUGGGUCUGCUCAUGUGCAAAUGCAACUUAGCACCAGAGAGUGUGAGAGUCUGGGAUUAACUGAUCUGGCUCUCUGCUUAGACUGCAACACCUUUGCUGAGUAUGUCAAGGACCAAGGUUGUAUCUUUAUUAUAUGAAUUUUGUUGAUCCUCAGAUAUUUAUGGUUUUUGGUGGAUUUUACUUCUGGGUUUUGAUGGGUUUUUUGAAUUGAUUACUUGUUGGUAAGUACAUGGGUUGUAAAAUGGUAAUAUUUGGGAUUCUUGUUUCUGUACUAUAGCUGAUUGGUUGUCAAAAUUAACGAAUAGUGGGAGAUAGAUGCAAUUCUUAUUGCUUUUAGUUGAUUUAAGGUCUGGGUUUUUUUUUGUUUGGAUUUAUGAAUUGCUUAUUUAUAUGUGAGAUGUCAAUGGUGAUAAUUUGGAAGGAGAACUUGAAAAAGGCUAUGUUUUUAUACAAAUCAGAUCGAGAGACUAUGCUUAUAACAGUAAAUAAGUGUAUUUUGACUUUUGUUGUUUUCACUAUAAUUUUUUGUGAUUAAGUUUUGUCAAAAUAUGGAUGGGUAAAUAGUAUUUUGGAAGAUUUCUCUUUUUUCUUUUUGUGCCUCAGAUAGCUUAAGGAUAAUCGCAUAAAUCGAAAUAAGAUCCUCAUUGGGAUUCUUAAAUUAUCUCAUGCAAUUAGUGGCGUUAAAUUGUAAUCUGUAGAAUUCCAAGUAACUAGCCUGGAUUAUGGUAAUGGUUCAGUUUUGUUGCUCUUGAGGAUUAUGGUAAUUGCACCUGAGCUGACGAUGAUCAAGACA